This 497-nucleotide ribosomal RNA is filed under the name uncultured bacterium. RNAcentral's name for it is "partial 16S ribosomal RNA". It matches the Rfam family "Bacterial small subunit ribosomal RNA", at positions 28 to 507 of the family's 1533-position model. The record is from RNAcentral.
GAUGAACGCUGGCGGCGUGCCUAAUACAUGCGAGUCGAGCGAACGGACGAGAAGCUUGCUUCUCUGAUGUUAGCGGCGGACGGGUGAGUAACACGUGGAUAACCUACCUAUAAGACUGGGAUAACUUCGGGAAACCGUAGCUAAUACCGGAUAAUAUUUUGAACCGCAUGGUUCAAAAGUGAAAGACGGUCUUGCUGUCACUUAUAGAUGGAUCCGCGCUGCAUUAGCUAGUUGGUAAGGUAACGGCUUACCAAGGCAACGAUGCAUAGCCGACCUGAGAGGGUGAUCGGCCACACUGGAACUGAGACACGGUCCAGACUCCUACGGGAGGCAGCAGUAGGGAAUCUUCCGCAAUGGGCGAAAGCCUGACGGAGCACCGCCGCGUGAGUGAUGAAGGUCUUCGGAUCGUAAAACUCUGUUAUUAGGGAAGAACAUAUGUGUAAGUAACUGUGCACAUCUUGACGGUACCUAAUCAGAAAGCCACGGCUAACUACGUG